Molecule: non-coding RNA, 73 nt
Organism: Ameiurus melas (black bullhead)
Lineage: Eukaryota; Metazoa; Chordata; Actinopteri; Siluriformes; Ictaluridae
Source: the annotation of a GenBank genome assembly
GUUUUCAUAGCUCAGUGGUUAAAGCACUGUUCUUGUAAACCAGCCGUUGUGAGUUCAGCCCUCACUGGGGCCA